ACGGGAGGCAGCAGUGAGGGAUAUUCGGCAAUGGGGGAAACCCUGACCGAGCAACGCCGCGUGGAGGAUGACGGUUUUCGGAUUGUAAACUCCUGUCCUCUGUGAAGAUAAUGACGGUAGCAGAGGAGGAAGCUCCGGCUAACUACGUGCCAGCAGCCGCGGUAAUACGUAGGGAGCGAGCGUUGUCCGGAUUUACUGGGUGUAAAGGGUGCGUAGACGGCUAAGCAAGUCAGAGGUGAAAUCCAUGGGCUCAACCCAUGAACUGCCUUUGAAACUGCUUUGCUUGAGUGAUGUAGAGGCAGGCGGAAUUCCCGGUGUAGCGGUGGAAUGCGUAGAGAUCGGGAGGAACACCAGUGGCGAAGGCGGCCUGCUGGGCAUUAACUGACGUUGAGGCACGAAAGCGUGGGUAGCAAACAGGAUUAGAUACCCUGGUA
This 434-nucleotide ribosomal RNA is filed under the name uncultured Clostridium sp. RNAcentral's name for it is "partial 16S ribosomal RNA". It matches the Rfam family "Bacterial small subunit ribosomal RNA", at positions 341 to 792 of the family's 1533-position model. RNAcentral also lists the same sequence under 1 other name. The record is from RNAcentral. Lineage: Bacteria; Bacillati; Bacillota; Clostridia; Eubacteriales; Clostridiaceae.